This is a non-coding RNA of Clostridium sp. CAG:58, 84 nucleotides long. NCBI's taxonomy places the organism in Bacteria, Bacillati, Bacillota, Clostridia, Eubacteriales, Clostridiaceae. The record is from Rfam.
GUUAUCUGAGGUGGUAAAUUUCGUUGCAACCACGCACCCUAGCGGUCAAAAGAGAUGCAGGAGAGGCGACGCCUGCCGGAUAAC